This 406-nucleotide ribosomal RNA is filed under the name uncultured bacterium. Its description in RNAcentral is "partial 16S ribosomal RNA". It matches the Rfam family "Bacterial small subunit ribosomal RNA", at positions 30 to 526 of the family's 1533-position model. The record is from RNAcentral.
AUUGAACGCUGGCGGCAGGCCUAACACAUGCAAGUCGAGCGAGCGGCGGACGGGUGAGUAAUGUCUGUGAAACUGCCGGCUGGAGGGGGAUAACUACUGGAAACGGUAGCUAAUACUGCAUACCCUCUGAUGUGCCCAGAUGGGAUUAGCUAGUGGGUGGGGUAAUGGCUCACCUAGGCGUCGAUCCCUAGCUGGUCUGGGAGGAUGACCAGCAAAUCUGGAACGGAAACACGGUCAAAAUUCCAACGGAAGGAACAGGGGGGGAACAUUGGACAUGGGGCGCAAGCCUGAUAAAGCCAUGCCGCGGGUAUGAAGAGGGCCUUGGGGUUGUAAAGUACUUUCAGCGAGGCGGCGUUACUCGCAGAAGAAGCACCGGCUAACUCCGUGCCAGCAGCCGCGGUAAUAC